Molecule: long non-coding RNA, 161 nt
Organism: Homarus americanus (American lobster)
Lineage: Eukaryota; Metazoa; Arthropoda; Malacostraca; Decapoda; Nephropidae
Exons: 2
Source: RefSeq, a predicted model, not a curated record
AAUGGCAGGAGCAGACCCCGGGAGGACCUGAAUGCCAAGAUGGAAUUUUACAGGCAGAGGUUUCGUGAUGAUGGUGGCUGCAAGCAACACCCGUCUCCGCCUGAUGGCCCCACUCUGCCAACGGUGCCCGCCUCCUUCAUGACGGAGCUGGAGAUCGCCUU